This 253-nucleotide ribosomal RNA is filed under the name uncultured bacterium. Its description in RNAcentral is "partial 16S ribosomal RNA". It matches the Rfam family "Bacterial small subunit ribosomal RNA", at positions 524 to 776 of the family's 1533-position model. The record is from RNAcentral.
UACAGAGGUCUCAAGCGUUGUUCGGAUUCAUUGGGCGUAAAGGGUGCGCAGGCGGCGCGGUAAGUCGGGUGUGAAAUCUUGGAGCUUAACUCCGAAACUGCAUUCGAUACUGCCGUGCUUGAGGACUGGAGAGGAGACUGGAAUUUACGGUGUAGCGGUGAAAUGCGUAGAUAUCGUAAGGAGGACCAGUGGCGAAGGCGGGUCUCUGGACAGUUCCUGACGCUGAGGCACGAAGGCCAGGGGAGCAAACGGG